Molecule: ribosomal RNA, 253 nt
Filed under: uncultured bacterium
Lineage: Bacteria
Description: partial 16S ribosomal RNA
Rfam family: Bacterial small subunit ribosomal RNA
Source: RNAcentral
UACGAAGGGGGCUAGCGUUGCUCGGAAUGACUGGGCGUAAAGGGCGCGUAGGCGGCUGUGGCAGUCAGAUGUGAAAUUCCUGGGCUCAACCUUGGAAUUGCCUUUGAUACUGGCUGUCUUGAGUUCGGGAGAGGUGAGUGGAAUGCCGAGUGUAGAGGUGAAAUUCGUAGAUAUUCGGCGGAACACCAGUGGCGAAGGCGACUCACUGGCCCGAUACUGACGCUGAGGCGCGAAAGCGUGGGGAGCAAACAGG